AGCCUGGGCUUGAGCGCGCGCAGAAGUCAGCUUCGUGACUUCCUUCUCAGGAUGGAACCAGCUUGGUGGCUUGAGGGUAUGUAAAAGCAAUAUCUGAGCCUUCUGCCUGCUUCCAAUAUGACUAAGCUUAAAAGGAGAUAACCCAAAAACUGCAGGAUCAUCCUGAUUUUCUGAUCUCCAAAACAAUAAAACCUUGAAUAUUUCCCUGGACUCCCUUAAACAGUUUAAUCCCUAAUAUUUACCUUGCUAAUCUCUGACCUUUGUGACAUUAAUUUGUCUGACCUUUGUGAGUAUAAUAACCAUGUGAGAAAGUUACUGUUUUUCCACCAUGAACAGACUACUGUCAACCGGUAAUCCUGGUAAUUUUAGGGGAUUUUUUUUUCCCUUUAAGUACUGGUUGGCAAACUAGUCCUUCCGUCUAACUCCUCGCAUCUUUUGCAAGUAAACCCCUUUUCUAAGUGAAUCUAUCUCUGAGUCUUUCUUUGACAUGUGCCAGUGUUACAAUCUGUCUUUAGAUAUGCUCUGGCUUACAGAGAAAAAAGAACGAAACUUUUAACACUUUUUGCUUCUGCUUCCCGUGUGAGGGAGUCUUCGUUGCAAUGACAACUCUUAAACGAAAGCAAAACAAAAAUAAUUGCAGAAGUCCACAGAAGCAAACACAAACAAAUGAAACUUUCCAUUUAAAACAGGACUGUAACCUCAAAUAUCCUCAAAAUCCAGAUCGGUGGUUCUCAGUCUUGACUGAGCUUUGGAAUCACUUAGGGAGUAUAUACAUAUACACGUGUGUGUGUGUGUGUGUUUGUGUCUGUGUGUGUGUGUGUGUGUGUGUGUGUGUGUGUGUGUGUGUGUAUACUGAUUUCUGUGUCCUAUCCCAGAGAUUCUGAUGUAACUAGUCUUGAGUGAAGCCAAUCAGAAUUUUUUAAAGCAUAGGAUACGGCUGUGCAUUUGAAGCUGGAAGCCACUAACCCAGGCGCUGAUCAAUGAAGAACUAGGCUGGAGUGCUGUCUUACAAGGUCAUAUCAUUAGCACAUCCUUCCCAUUG
This 1042-nucleotide long non-coding RNA is filed under the name Homo sapiens (human). RNAcentral's name for it is "non-protein coding lnc-SLC48A1-23:1". Lineage: Eukaryota; Metazoa; Chordata; Mammalia; Primates; Hominidae. The record is from RNAcentral.